GGGAUGGACGCACCUCUGGUGUACCAGUUGUUCUGCCAAGGGCAUGGCUGGGUAGCUAUGUACGGAAUGGAUAAGCGCUGAAAGCAUCUAAGCGCGAAGCCAACUUCAAGAUAAGAUUUCCCACCGUAAGGGUAAGAUCCCAGGAAGACUACCUGGUUGAUAGGUCAAAGGUGUAAGUGCAGCAAUGUAUGUAGCUUAUUGAUACUAAUAGAUCGAGGACUUGACCAAG
RNAcentral lists this ribosomal RNA (229 nucleotides) under Bacteroides caccae. Its description in RNAcentral is "partial 23S ribosomal RNA". It matches the Rfam family "Bacterial large subunit ribosomal RNA", at positions 2694 to 2925 of the family's 2925-position model. The record is from RNAcentral. Lineage: Bacteria; Pseudomonadati; Bacteroidota; Bacteroidia; Bacteroidales; Bacteroidaceae.